This 70-nucleotide transfer RNA is filed under the name Marmota monax (woodchuck). RNAcentral describes it as "tRNA.Gly". Lineage: Eukaryota; Metazoa; Chordata; Mammalia; Rodentia; Sciuridae. The record is from RNAcentral.
GGGGUUGUGGCUCAGUGGCAGAGUGUUUUGCCUACCAUGUAUGAGGCAUCAAGUUCGAAUCUCAGCACCA